GACAGUAUAGCUCAAGUGGUAGAGCGCAUGCUUAGCAUGCACGAGGUCCUGGGUUCAAUCCCCGGUACCUCA
This is a transfer RNA of Camelus ferus (Wild Bactrian camel), 72 nucleotides long. It matches the Rfam family "tRNA". Rfam says of the family: Transfer RNA (tRNA) molecules are approximately 80 nucleotides in length. Their secondary structure includes four short double-helical elements and three loops (D, anti-codon, and T loops). Further hydrogen bonds mediate the characteristic L-shaped molecular structure. tRNAs have two regions of fundamental functional importance: the anti-codon, which is responsible for specific mRNA codon recognition, and the 3' end, to which the tRNAs corresponding amino acid is attached (by aminoacyl-tRNA synthetases). tRNAs cope with the degeneracy of the genetic code in two manners: having more than one tRNA (with a specific anti-codon) for a particular amino acid; and 'wobble' base-pairing, i.e. permitting non-standard base-pairing at the 3rd anti-codon position. NCBI's taxonomy places the organism in Eukaryota, Metazoa, Chordata, Mammalia, Artiodactyla, Camelidae. The record is from Rfam.